RNAcentral lists this small nucleolar RNA (84 nucleotides) under Lytechinus variegatus (green sea urchin). RNAcentral describes it as "small nucleolar RNA SNORD45". It matches the Rfam family "Small nucleolar RNA SNORD45". Rfam says of the family: U45 belongs to the C/D class of snoRNA which contain the C (UGAUGA) and D (CUGA) box motifs. The record is from RNAcentral. Lineage: Eukaryota; Metazoa; Echinodermata; Echinoidea; Temnopleuroida; Toxopneustidae.
ACCCAAUGAUGUUCUCGCAUGUAUUACCUGAAUGUUGAAUAGUGACGAAUAAACAUGUUAGCUCUAGAAUUACACUGAGGGUAC